GACGAACGCUGGCGGCGUGCUUAAUACAUGCAAGUCAACUUGACUUUAGAUAGCAAUAUCGAAAAGUAGGGUGGCGCACGGGUGCGUAACGCGUAGGUAAUCUGCCCUGAGGUCUGACAUAACCCGUCGAAAGGCGGGCUAACAUCAGAUGAUAUAUAAUCACGACAUCGUGGAAAAUAUCAAAUCUUCGGAGCCUUGGGAUGAGCCUGCGUCUGAUUAGGUAGUUGGCGGAGUAAUAGCCCACCAAGCCUACGAUCAGUAGCUGGUCUGAGAGGAUGAUCAGCCACACUGGAACUGAGACACGGUCCAGACUCCUACGGGAGGCAGCAGUAAGGAAUAUUGCUCAAUGGGGAAACCCUGAAGCAGCAACGCCGCGUGAAGGAUGAAAUAC
Molecule: ribosomal RNA, 391 nt
Filed under: uncultured bacterium
Lineage: Bacteria
Description: bacterial SSU rRNA
Rfam family: Bacterial small subunit ribosomal RNA
Source: RNAcentral